GAACAGCCACCUUCAAAAUGCAGCUUGAUUGUGAUUCAUGGCAAAAAGCUGGAAUAACCCUGUCAGGUCUCAGAAGCUUUAAGAUAAAUCGAAUUGAACUUGUUACACAUAAAAGCACCUUGAAAAUGAAUCAUCUGCUAAUUUAGUAUUUUCUAAUUACAAUCACUCUCUUUCAGGGCAUGUAAUUAAUUUACUGAGUUUAAAAAAAUAAGUCA
Molecule: non-coding RNA, 215 nt
Organism: Pteropus vampyrus (large flying fox)
Lineage: Eukaryota; Metazoa; Chordata; Mammalia; Chiroptera; Pteropodidae
Source: Rfam